This 274-nucleotide ribosomal RNA is filed under the name uncultured bacterium. RNAcentral's name for it is "partial 16S ribosomal RNA". It matches the Rfam family "Bacterial small subunit ribosomal RNA", at positions 523 to 796 of the family's 1533-position model. The record is from RNAcentral.
AUACGGAGGGUGCAAGCGUUAUCCGGAUUCAUUGGGUUUAAAGGGUUCGCAGGCGGCGUAUUAAGUCAGUGGUGAAAUCCCGAGGCUCAACCUCGGAACUGCCAUUGAUACUGGUAUGCUAGAGUAUAGUUGGCGUUGGCGGAAUGUAUCAUGUAGCGGUGAAAUGCUUAGAUAUGAUACAGAACACCGAUCGCGAAGGCAGCUAACGAAACUAUAACUGACGCUCAGGAACGAAAGCGUGGGGAGCGAACAUGAUUAGAAACCCCAGUAGUCC